GACAGAGGUGGCGAGCGUUGUUCGGAUUUAUUGGGCGUAAAGCGCACGCAGGCGGUUUGGUAAGUCAGAGGUGAAAGCCCGCAGCUCAACUGCGGCAAUGCCUUUGAUACUGCCUUUCUCGAGUGCAGGAGAGGGAAGCGGAAUUCCGAGUGUAGAGGUGAAAUUCGUAGAUAUUCGGAGGAACACCGGUGGCGAAGGCGGCUUCCUGGCCUGUAACUGACGCUCAGGUGCGAAAGCGUGGGUAGCAAACAGG
This 253-nucleotide ribosomal RNA is filed under the name uncultured bacterium. RNAcentral's name for it is "partial 16S ribosomal RNA". It matches the Rfam family "Bacterial small subunit ribosomal RNA", at positions 524 to 776 of the family's 1533-position model. The record is from RNAcentral.